Long non-coding RNA from Clupea harengus (Atlantic herring), 689 nucleotides. The record is from Ensembl. NCBI's taxonomy places the organism in Eukaryota, Metazoa, Chordata, Actinopteri, Clupeiformes, Clupeidae.
AAGCCAAUUAGAGUUAACUUGACUUCACAGGAUUUAGGGGUUAUGAACUCAAGGCAUCCCGACACUACAAGUUAAGGGUGUGGACAGGAGUGUUGCUUACACGCAGCAAAAGGUUAUUUUGCCAUCUGCUACUCGCUCCUUUAUAGCCAUUCUCGGGCUAGUAAUAGAUCAAAACCAGGUAUAAUAGGUGCCAGCCUCACACGGGCACCAGAAUAAUGUUGGACAUUCCCUUGUGGAUGGACGCCAAAAAAAUGGGAAUCACACGCUACCUGCAGCAGAGCCGUUGCAUCACUGGGAGUGGCCUGAAAGUCCUUGGAGAAGAGUCCAUCUGGAUUAUGCUGGUCUACUCAUGGGUCACAUGUUAUUGUAAUAGAUUCCUAUUCCAUUUAGAUGAGCUGUUACAGUGCUCUUACACAAUGCUACCUGAUUUAUCAUUUAGAUGAGCUGUUACAGUGCUCUUAAACAAUGCUAUGGUGAAUUUCAAGAUUUUAUGAAGGGUAAUGGAAUUUACCAUAUGACAUGCAUUCAUUGAACGCAAGUUGGAUGUUCUUCAAAAAUGAAGUGACUGCACAUUUUCCUCAGCAUUUAAAGUCAGAUAUUCUUGGAAAACGAAGCAGAGAGCUUGGUGUAACUUUAUGAAUUUGUAUGUAUUUGAACAUUUUACCCAUUUACGUCAUUAUAUAAGGGAA